This 440-nucleotide ribosomal RNA is filed under the name uncultured bacterium. Its description in RNAcentral is "partial 16S ribosomal RNA". It matches the Rfam family "Bacterial small subunit ribosomal RNA", at positions 338 to 795 of the family's 1533-position model. The record is from RNAcentral.
CCUACGGGUGGCAGCAGUAGGGAAUAUUGCUCAAUGGGGGAAACCCUGAAGCAGCAACGCCGCGUGGAGGAUGACGGUUUUCGGAUUGUAAACUCCUUUCGUUAGAGAAGAUAAUGACGGUAGUUAACGAAUAAGCACCGGCUAACACCUAGCCAGCAGCCGCGGUAAUACGGCGGGUGCAAGCGUUACUCGGAAUCACUGGGCGUAAAGAGCGAGUAGGCGGGAUAGCAAGUCAGAUGUGAAAUCCUAAGGCUUAACCAUAGAACUGCAUUUGAAACUGUUAUGCUAGAGUAUAGGAGAGGUAAGUGGAAUUCUUGGUGUAGGGGUAAAAUCCGUAGAGAUCAAGAGGAAUACUCAUUGCGAAGGCGACCUGCUAGAACAUAACUGACGCUGAUGCGCGAAAGCGUGGGGAGCAAACAGGAUUAGAUACCCCGGUAGUC